This is a long non-coding RNA of Lethenteron reissneri (Far Eastern brook lamprey), 624 nucleotides long. RefSeq lists it as uncharacterized. NCBI's taxonomy places the organism in Eukaryota, Metazoa, Chordata, Hyperoartia, Petromyzontiformes, Petromyzontidae. The record is from RefSeq and is a predicted model, not a curated record.
ACCUCCACCACUUCCUCCUUCCCAGUUGCCUCCACUGCUUGACAAUGUUACGGCUCUAUUAACCAUGAAUAUUUAACCACCGAGAGAGAGAGAAACACAAACAUCAACUCUGGCUGGACUCCAUCCGAGCGUCCUCUCCGACAGAUGCCUUCAAUUCGUUCAUGUCAACUCGGAGCACGUGACCUUGCUGUCGUCUCGCUCGCAUUCAACAAGAAGCUCCGCUGAGCAGCCCUCAUGCGUGGCCUGAUGAAUCACGAAGCGCAUCUGUGAACACCGCACGGAAACUUACACGGCUUGCCGGUGACCCCGUGAUGGUCCUGUGGGGGACGGACAUGCGGAGACACAUCACCGUGACGGUGCCCCGCGGGGGGCUGGAAAGUCGCGGGAGCAGCCGGAUCGCUCACAGCUCCGGCGGCAGCGACCGCGGCGGCCGGACGAGCAGCAGCAGCAGCAACAACAACAUCAUCAGCAGCAGCAGGAGGAGGAGGUCGGCCUCGGAGAGCCGCGUGGCCCAGGGUGAACGCGAGACGCGGGCCCCAGCGGCUCCCGGCGAUGAGGCCGCCACGCAACCUGGUCGGGCCCACGCACCGGCACAACAAUUUGUCGCGACGUCCAAUCUGCACA